AGAACAAUUAUCUUAAGAAUAUCAACUUAGCGACUGUACCAUCUUCAGCUGCCUCUGGAAAAAGUUUUCAAGCUGGUGUUGUUGGCUAAAAUCAGCCCAAGCGAAGACAACCCAUACGAGUCCUGAGACCCUGAGCUGUCAGGUAAAGUGCAUUUGAAAUAAACCACCUUGAGAUUUCAACAGGAAAAUACAAUUUGUUGUCUCUGGGUCUUCUGCAAAUCUGCUGGUAUCAAGCUUAGAAGACAUGCUGUGCUGUCAUUCCUUACCCUCAUACCGUUAGUGUCUUAAAAGAUUUUUGCCAAAAUAAACUGUAAUUGCAACUGUU
This is a long non-coding RNA of Corvus hawaiiensis (hawaiian crow), 325 nucleotides long. RefSeq lists it as uncharacterized. The transcript is spliced from 3 exons. Lineage: Eukaryota; Metazoa; Chordata; Aves; Passeriformes; Corvidae. The record is from RefSeq and is a predicted model, not a curated record.